Molecule: long non-coding RNA, 1696 nt
Organism: Ipomoea nil (Japanese morning glory)
Lineage: Eukaryota; Viridiplantae; Streptophyta; Magnoliopsida; Solanales; Convolvulaceae
Exons: 2
Source: RefSeq, a predicted model, not a curated record
ACGAAUUUGGUUUUCGACUUUCAAAAUUUUUUCAAUUUAGUUCCCGAUUAUGCAUUUUUUACCCGAAUUGAUCCUAUAGUCAAACCAGCGUUUUUAAAGCAAAUAAAUUGAGGACAGAUUUGUAAUUUCACUUUAUUUCCUUUCUCGUUCAUUUUCAUCUCCACUCUUUGGUCCACGAAGCAGGGAGUAGUCAACGGAACUGAAACCCUUUUGCAUCCCCAUUUCUUACCAUCCGAUCUUUAAGCAUCUUAGUGUGAGGUUGAAGUCACCAGGGACGGCGAAGACGUCACUCACCCCUAUCUGCACAAGGUGGUGAGCGAGGUGGCGACAGACUGUAGCAGGGAUUCGUGGAUCAAAGAGUGGAUAUGAAAAUGCCUUCUCGAUGCAAUUAGGGCUCAAUUUUAAAAAAUCCUACCUAUUUCUGGCAAGGCGCACAUCGGAUCGUUAGAAUCAAGGAAUGUGCUCAUCAAAUUUACUGAAGAAAUCGAUUGUACAUGAAUUUUGGCGAAAGGCAGAGUAGAAAUCGAAGGAAAAUGGGCCAAGUUCGCUCGUUGGUCGCCGGAUUAGAGUUCGAAGAGAGAUUUACCGUUCGCAGCCAUAUGGCUUAAGUUGCCAAAAUUGCCUUAUCAUCUUUUUGAUCCACGGUUCGUCGAACAAGGCCAAGUACGGCUCGAGUGAAGGUGGAGUUGGAUUUGCUUCAGGAUCAGGAUGAAAAGAUUUGGAUUGAGGUCGUGAAUCAGGAAGGAGAAGUGCGUGGAUUUGGCAGAGGAUUGAGUAUGAACACAUUCCUAAAUUCUGUAGCGAUUGUAGGCGAUUUGGUCACCUGCUGCUUGAAUGUCGUCGAAAUCGAGGAAAUUGGCCGCCAACGGUGUUGACGGAGAAGAGAGAUGAGGGUGGCAGAGUCAUAGCAGAGGUGGAGGUGGAUCGUUGGAGUGAGACGCUGCCGGCUGAGAGAGAGUUGGAAACCGCUGCCUGCUUGCCGAUCUAGAGGCGAGUGAAGAGGUCUCUAAUGAACAGUGCUAAAUCUUCCGGGUGGAGGUAGAGGACCGGGAGGGGGGAGAGAGAGAGGACAAUAGCCGUGGACUCCCCAUUUUACCCUUUUAGUUUGAUCGACAAAUUACACUAAGGAUCAUUUCGGGUAAAAAGAACAAUCGGAGCUAAAUUGAAGAAUUUUGAAAAUUAAAGACCAAAUUGGUGAAAUUCUCAUAGUCGAGGGACCAAAUCGGUAAUUAACUCAUCCUUUUUGGUUUCCCUCCUGUUAUAGCACUAGCUUUCUGGCAUGUCAUCAUCACAAUUCACAAAAAGCACAAACCCUCUGGUCAAAAGGCAGAUGAAUAACAGAUUUGUGAGAGGCCUCAACCCUCCCCUUCCCCACAUUACAUAAUACAUAUUCAGAAAAAAGGAGAGACAACACAGAGCUGAAGAAGCUUCUCAUGUCAUAGCUACACAAAAGGCAUCACUAUUUUCUUGGUAAGCAAUUCUCUCCUAACCUCUCUCAUUCUUUACUGUUCUGUGCAUGCAUUCUCUUCCAUUCCAAUUUUUUUUUUGAUUCUCAAGUUUUGCAGUCUCAGAACAUUAAUGGAGUAGAAAGAAGAAAGAAGAAAUGUCUGCACACAAAAACAAUAUUAUAUAUUCACCACCCCAAUGAGUAUGAGUUACAUGUUACAUAUAAAUCAGGAAAAAAAAAAAAAAAAAA